RNAcentral lists this ribosomal RNA (253 nucleotides) under uncultured bacterium. RNAcentral describes it as "partial 16S ribosomal RNA". It matches the Rfam family "Bacterial small subunit ribosomal RNA", at positions 524 to 776 of the family's 1533-position model. The record is from RNAcentral.
UACGGGGGGGGCAAGCGUUGUUCGGAAUUACUGGGCGUAAAGGGUUCGUAGGUGGCUCGCUAAGUCAGACGUGAAAUCCCUCAGCUUAACUGGGGAACUGCGUCUGAGACUGGCAAGCUCGAGUGCAGGAGAGGAACGCGGAAUUCCAGGUGUAGCGGUGAAAUGCGUAGAUAUCUGGAGGAACACCGGUGGCGAAGGCGGCGUUCUGGACUGCAACUGACACUGAGGAACGAAAGCCAGGGGAGCAAACGGG